Molecule: ribosomal RNA, 258 nt
Filed under: uncultured bacterium
Lineage: Bacteria
Description: partial 16S ribosomal RNA
Rfam family: Bacterial small subunit ribosomal RNA
Source: RNAcentral
CGGCGGACGGGUGAGUAACGCGUGGGUAACCUGCCCUGUACACACGGAUAACAUACCGAAAGGUAUGCUAAUACGAGAUAAAAUACUUUUAUCGCAUGGUAGAAGUAUCAAAGCUUUUGCAGUACAGGAUGGACCCGCGUCUGAUUAGCUAGUUGGUAAGGUAACGGCUUACCAAGGCGACGAUCAGUGGCCGACCUGAGAGGGUGAUCGGCCACAUUGGAACUGAGACACGGUCCAAACUCCUACGGGAGGCAGCAG